AAAAAUCGAAGUGGGGAGACGGAGCCACUGCGAAUAACUCGGAAUUUUUCAAUCCCUGCAAUAGAUUCGUGAAGUCGUGGCCGAGCUUCUCUUCAAAACGUCCCCUUGUUUUCUUGGGUUUUGUGUUACCAAAUUUAUUGUCCUCCUGAACCGAUCAGCACAUAAUGUCAAAUUGCGAAUCAGAACUUGGGGCACCAUCUCUAUACCUUGUCUCCAGCUAUGCGUUGGAGGCCGCACAAGUUUUGGCAUGCGUUCAGAAGAUACCCCAAGUGAUGUCACAUGUAGAAGUUUACUCUUAGCUGUCGAUGUAGGACUGCGAAAUUUAAUCUAACCCUAAUUCCAUUUCUAUCUUGAGAUUUACGUAGUAUGUGUGUGCAACCCUCCUCCUCCUGAUUAUUAAUUAGAACCAAGUAUGGCGCAAGGCGCAGGGCGCUAUACUACCACUGGCUUGAACUUGGAUAUAGAACACAGAUUAGAUGAAGGACUCGUUCCAUUUCUACCUGAUGACAUGGCUCUGCAGUGCCUGCUCCGAGUUCCAGUCCAAUCCCACUCUCGGCUGCAGAACGUUUGUCGAAAAUGGCGAGAUCUGGUAAACAGCAGAAAAUUUUACGAGCACCGGAAGAAGGAGGGAACUACACGACAAUGCGUCU
Molecule: long non-coding RNA, 650 nt
Filed under: Physcomitrium patens
Lineage: Eukaryota; Viridiplantae; Streptophyta; Bryopsida; Funariales; Funariaceae
Description: long non-coding RNA (PPAT_LNC006244)
Source: RNAcentral